This 18-nucleotide non-coding RNA is filed under the name Arabidopsis thaliana (thale cress). The record is from RNAcentral. RNAcentral also lists the same sequence under 1 other name. Lineage: Eukaryota; Viridiplantae; Streptophyta; Magnoliopsida; Brassicales; Brassicaceae.
GGCGAAAGACUAAUCGAA